This 2210-nucleotide ribosomal RNA is filed under the name Salmonella enterica. RNAcentral describes it as "partial 23S ribosomal RNA". It matches the Rfam family "Bacterial large subunit ribosomal RNA", at positions 743 to 2925 of the family's 2925-position model. Lineage: Bacteria; Pseudomonadati; Pseudomonadota; Gammaproteobacteria; Enterobacterales; Enterobacteriaceae. The record is from RNAcentral.
GGUUGAAGGUUGGGUAACACUAACUGGAGGACCGAACCGACUAAUGUUGAAAAAUUAGCGGAUGACCUGUGGCUGGGGGUGAAAGGCCAAUCAAACCGGGAGAUAGCUGGUUCUCCCCGAAAGCUAUUUAGGUAGCGCCUCGUGAAUUCAUCUCCGGGGGUAGAGCACUGUUUCGGCUAGGGGGCCAUCCCGGCUUACCAACCCGAUGCAAACUGCGAAUACCGGAGAAUGUUAUCACGGGAGACACACGGCGGGUGCUAACGUCCGUCGUGAAGAGGGAAACAACCCAGACCGCCAGCUAAGGUCCCAAAGUCAUGGUUAAGUGGGAAACGAUGUGGGAAGGCCCAGACAGCCAGGAUGUUGGCUUAGAAGCAGCCAUCAUUUAAAGAAAGCGUAAUAGCUCACUGGUCGAGUCGGCCUGCGCGGAAGAUGUAACGGGGCUAAACCAUGCACCGAAGCUGCGGCAGCGACGCUGAUGCGUUGUUGGGUAGGGGAGCGUUCUGUAAGCCUGCGAAGGUGGCCUGUGAGGGUUGCUGGAGGUAUCAGAAGUGCGAAUGCUGACAUAAGUAACGAUAAAGCGGGUGAAAAGCCCGCUCGCCGGAAGACCAAGGGUUCCUGUCCAACGUUAAUCGGGGCAGGGUGAGUCGACCCCUAAGGCGAGGCCGAAAGGCGUAGUCGAUGGGAAACGGGUUAAUAUUCCCGUACUUGGUGUUACUGCGAAGGGGGGACGGAGAAGGCUAUGUUGGCCGGGCGACGGUUGUCCCGGUUUAAGCGUGUAGGUGUGUGUUCCAGGUAAAUCCGGUUCACUUUAACACUGAGGCGUGAUGACGAGGCACUACGGUGCUGAAGCAACAAAUGCCCUGCUUCCAGGAAAAGCCUCUAAGCAUCAGGUAACAUCAAAUCGUACCCCAAACCGACACAGGUGGUCAGGUAGAGAAUACCAAGGCGCUUGAGAGAACUCGGGUGAAGGAACUAGGCAAAAUGGUGCCGUAACUUCGGGAGAAGGCACGCUGACACGUAGGUGAAGUGAUUUACUCAUGGAGCUGAAGUCAGUCGAAGAUACCAGCUGGCUGCAACUGUUUAUUAAAAACACAGCACUGUGCAAACACGAAAGUGGACGUAUACGGUGUGACGCCUGCCCGGUGCCGGAAGGUUAAUUGAUGGGGUCAGCGCAAGCGAAGCUCCUGAUCGAAGCCCCGGUAAACGGCGGCCGUAACUAUAACGGUCCUAAGGUAGCGAAAUUCCUUGUCGGGUAAGUUCCGACCUGCACGAAUGGCGUAAUGAUGGCCAGGCUGUCUCCACCCGAGACUCAGUGAAAUUGAACUCGCUGUGAAGAUGCAGUGUACCCGCGGCAAGACGGAAAGACCCCGUGAACCUUUACUAUAGCUUGACACUGAACAUUGAGCCUUGAUGUGUAGGAUAGGUGGGAGGCUUUGAAGUGUGGACGCCAGUCUGCAUGGAGCCGGCCUUGAAAUACCACCCUUUAAUGUUUGAUGUUCUAACGUGGACCCGUGAUCCGGGUUGCGGACAGUGUCUGGUGGGUAGUUUGACUGGGGCGGUCUCCUCCUAAAGAGUAACGGAGGAGCACGAAGGUUGGCUAAUCCUGGUCGGACAUCAGGAGGUUAGUGCAAUGGCAUAAGCCAGCUUGACUGCGAGCGUGACGGCGCGAGCAGGUGCGAAAGCAGGUCAUAGUGAUCCGGUGGUUCUGAAUGGAAGGGCCAUCGCUCAACGGAUAAAAGGUACUCCGGGGAUAACAGGCUGAUACCGCCCAAGAGUUCAUAUCGACGGCGGUGUUUGGCACCUCGAUGUCGGCUCAUCACAUCCUGGGGCUGAAGUAGGUCCCAAGGGUAUGGCUGUUCGCCAUUUAAAGUGGUACGCGAGCUGGGUUUAGAACGUCGUGAGACAGUUCGGUCCCUAUCUGCCGUGGGCGCUGGAGAACUGAGGGGGGCUGCUCCUAGUACGAGAGGACCGGAGUGGACGCAUCACUGGUGUUCGGGUUGUCAUGCCAAUGGCACUGCCCGGUAGCUAAAUGCGGAAGAGAUAAGUGCUGAAAGCAUCUAAGCACGAAACUUGCCCCGAGAUGAGUUCUCCCUGAGACUUAGAGUCUCCUGAAGGAACGUUGAAGACGACGACGUUGAUAGGCCGGGUGUGUAAGCGCAGCGAUGCGUUGAGCUAACCGGUACUAAUGAACCGUGAGGCUUAACCUUACA